UUCAGUUUCCUUAAAAGUGACAGACACACAGAAGAGGAAAACAGGACUGAAAAGCUGUCACAACAGACAAAACUGUUAGACUGUAUAACUACAGAAAGUACAAGUACAAGGUGCUACCCAUCGACGUAAAACAGAUUUUAAACACUGAGAUUUAGAAAAAGAUAUGUACAGACAAAAUACAGAAGAAAAUCUACAAUGACUUUUUCUACAAACAAAGCUACAAUGCUGUGAUUCUACUCACAUGGAAUCGUUUCUGACCAGCUGUCCAUUCUGGCGAACAGCAUUCUCACUCAUAGAACGUUCUCUUUUUAGCCUGCCAACUGCUCGGAUCUGUUAAGGCAAAAACAAAGGGAAAAAAUGGAAUAUUCUUAGUAGCUUAGAAGCUAUUUAGCAUAAAAAAAAACACAGGAAACUUCAUCCAUGACUACUCAUAAAAAUACAAGGAGCUAAGAGAAGCCAACCAAAAAGAAAAACCUGUGUAUUACAGACAGGUUAUGAAGAUAUUUUCUCAAUUGGGGUUCCCUCCUAUCAGAUGAUUCUAGCCUGUGUCCAGUGGAUAUAAAGUUAGCCAGCAUGCAUACCGAAAGAGUCCAUCCAUUUCCCCGUUAUUAAAGAACUUGAGAAGCUCUGGGUGCACUAAUGUCAUCUCCUCACCUCGUCCUAUUGUCCUGCUGAGACUAUGCAGAUGGAAAACUUACAGAGGGCAGAACAAGAUGCCGAGGUAGAAAGGGUGAAGAAGCCGGCCCUUGAUAACAACAGGACAGGGCCGUGAGGACACGCCAAGGCCGGGACCG
Molecule: long non-coding RNA, 794 nt
Organism: Myodes glareolus (Bank vole)
Lineage: Eukaryota; Metazoa; Chordata; Mammalia; Rodentia; Cricetidae
Source: RefSeq, a predicted model, not a curated record